GUGCUUGCUUCAGGAGCACAUAUACUAAAAUUGAAAUGAUACCGAAAAGAUUAUCAUGACCCCUGCAGAAGGAUGACAUGCAAAUUCGUGAAGAGUUCCAUAUGUUU
This 107-nucleotide small nuclear RNA is filed under the name Dasypus novemcinctus (nine-banded armadillo). The record is from RNAcentral. Lineage: Eukaryota; Metazoa; Chordata; Mammalia; Cingulata; Dasypodidae.